UUAAUACCGCAUACACUCUAUGGAAGAAAAGCGAGGGAUCUUCGGACCUUGCGCUAUUGGAUGAGCCUAUGUCGGAUUAGUUAGUUGGUGGGGUAAAGGCCUACCAAGGCGACGAUCCGUAGCUGGUCUUAGAGGAUGAUCAGCCACAUCGGGACUGAGACACGGCCCGAACUCCUACGGGAGGCAGCAGUGGGGAAUAUUGCACAAUGGGCGCAAGUCUGAUGCAGCUAUGCCGCGUGUGUGAAGAAGGCCUUAGGGUUGUAAAGCACUUUCAGUAGUGAGGAAAAGUGUUGUGUUAAUAGCGCAAUGCUGUGACGUUAGCUACAGAAGAAGGACCGGCAAACUCCGUG
RNAcentral lists this ribosomal RNA (350 nucleotides) under uncultured bacterium. RNAcentral's name for it is "bacterial SSU rRNA". It matches the Rfam family "Bacterial small subunit ribosomal RNA", at positions 163 to 507 of the family's 1533-position model. The record is from RNAcentral.